RNAcentral lists this ribosomal RNA (468 nucleotides) under uncultured bacterium. RNAcentral's name for it is "partial 16S ribosomal RNA". It matches the Rfam family "Bacterial small subunit ribosomal RNA", at positions 28 to 507 of the family's 1533-position model. The record is from RNAcentral.
GACGAACGCUGGCGGCGUGCUUAACACGUGCAAGUCGAACGGAAAGGCCCUGCGUUUGUGGGGUGCUCGAGUGGCGAACGGGGGAGUAACACGUGAGUAACCUGCCCUUGACUUUGGGAUAACUUCAGGAAACUGGGGCUAAUACCGGAUAGGAGCUCCUGCUGCAUGGUGGGGGUUGGAAAGUUUCGGCGGUUGGGGAUGGACUCGCGGCUUAUCAGCUUGUUGGUGGGGUAGUGGCGUACCAAGGCUUUGACGGGUAGCCGGCCUGAGAGGGGGACCGGCCUCAAGGGGCCUGCGGUACGGCCCAGUCGCCUACGGGCCGCAGCAGUCGGGAGUCUUGCAGAACGGCCGGAAGCCUGAGACGGCGACGCCGCGUGCGGAAUAACGGCCUUCGAGGUGUAAACCGCUGUCGCCUGUGACGAGGCGGGCGUGACGGUAAUGGGUCAAGAAGCACCGGCUAACUACGUG